Myotis davidii is the source of this 718-nucleotide long non-coding RNA. RefSeq lists it as uncharacterized. NCBI's taxonomy places the organism in Eukaryota, Metazoa, Chordata, Mammalia, Chiroptera, Vespertilionidae. The transcript is spliced from 2 exons. The record is from RefSeq and is a predicted model, not a curated record.
GGGUCCGUAGCCUCCGGCACAGACUCCUCCAACUCCCCCCCGGGCUCCUUGUUCGAGCCCUCUCGGAACCCGUCCCAGGCCUCUUCCCUUGCCGUCUCCAGGGCCCCGUCAGUGGUCUCGCUGCGUGUGGGCUCCACGGUCCCGUCGCUGGUCUCGCUGAAGGCGGGGUCACAGUUCCAUUCCCAGGACUGGUCGAAAAGGGACUCCCAAGUCUCCUUGGCCUCGUCCCGCCUGGGCUCCCUGGCCCUGUCCAGCCCCGGCUCGCGGCUCUCAUCCUUGACCCAGUCCCUCUAUGGCUCCAGGAUCCCUUCGCGGUCCUCGUACCGCGGGGCCUCGCAGAGCACCACUGCCUCUGCUGAUUCUGUCCCGGGGCCGGGCCAGCCGACGGAGACCAAGGACACUGACAGGGCAGACUGAACCCACCCGGAAGGAGUCCAGGGUGGGGGAGACCGAGCGCAGGAAGCUAGCUGUUGGACUCCUCCCCCGUUUCAUUAUCUGAGAUGUCAACAUGCACAUUUAAGCGCAUGAUUCAUGAAGAGCCCCCAACCCUCCACACACUUUGUAUCUCCAUCCCACCUUCCAGGCUUCAGAAUCCAACACUCCCAUUACCCUCAGACCGGCCACUGCUCCUCUCUGUGGAAAGUCAUUCCCCUGGGUACUGACAUUUGGGACAUAUUUGUAUGUAAGUUACACUUUAAUAAGAGUUACUUGGAAAAUC